AAAAUAGACAUCUAGGGUUCCGACUUUGUGCAGUGACAAAUGGUUUGUCGUCAAAGUGUCUGGUCCGAGAGUUGUCAACCUCGCCAGAGGUCACACGGAGGGAUAAAAGCCCGGGAGGC
RNAcentral lists this small RNA (119 nucleotides) under Vibrio hippocampi. RNAcentral describes it as "ykkC-yxkD". It matches the Rfam family "Guanidine-I riboswitch aptamer". Rfam says of the family: This family represents a conserved RNA structure found upstream of the ykkC and yxkD genes in Bacillus subtilis and related genes in other bacteria. The function of this family is unclear although it has been suggested that it may function to switch on efflux pumps and detoxification systems in response to harmful environmental molecules. Nelson showed that this riboswitch senses and responds to guanidine and it was renamed Guanidine-I riboswitch. Lineage: Bacteria; Pseudomonadati; Pseudomonadota; Gammaproteobacteria; Vibrionales; Vibrionaceae. The record is from RNAcentral.